Molecule: ribosomal RNA, 1303 nt
Filed under: Hydrometra stagnorum
Lineage: Eukaryota; Metazoa; Arthropoda; Insecta; Hemiptera; Hydrometridae
Description: SSU rRNA
Rfam family: Eukaryotic small subunit ribosomal RNA
Source: RNAcentral
GGAGGCUAUCUGGUUGAUCCUGCCAGUAGUCAUAUGCUUGUCUCAAAGCUUAAGCCAUGCAAGUCUCAGUACGAACUGUUUUAAAGUGAAACCGCGAAAAGCUCAUUAAAUCAGUUAUGGUUCACUCGGUUCACAGUCCCAAACCGGGCGUUUGGAUAACUGUGGUAAUUCUAGAGCUAAUACAUGCAACGAAGUCCCGUCCAGUGAUGGUAAGGACGCUUUUAUUAGAUCAAAACCAAUCGGUCCCUCACGGGGCCGGUUAACCUUGAUGACUCUGAAUUGACUGAGUUAGAUCGCACGGUCUCAGCGCCGGCGACGAACCAUUCAAAUGCCUGCCUUAUCAACUCGGUCGGUAGACUCAGUGUCUACCCUGGUUGUUACGGGUGACGGGGAAUCAGGGUUCGAUUCCGGAGAGGAAGCCUGAGAAACUGCUACCACAUCUAAGGAAGGCAGCAGGCACGCAAAUUACCCACUCCCGGCACGGGGAGGUAGUGACAAAAAAUAACGAUACGGGACUCAUCCGAGGCCCCGUAAUCGGAAUGGGAACACUUUAAAUCCUUUAACGAGGAUCCAUUGGAGGGCAAGUCUGGUGCCAGCAGCUGCGGUAAUUCCAGCUCCAAUAGCGUAUAUUAAAGUUGUUGCGGUUAAAAAGCUCGUAGUUGGUUCUGCGUGUUACUCUGUCGGUUCACCGCUUGCCGGUGCAACUGUCAUGUUGUGGCACGUACUGCCGGUGGAUUGACGGGUCCGGGGCGGGCGCCACGGGUACUCCCCGUGCGCGGUCCUCCGGCGCCCGGCCUUCCGCAAAUUGUGCUACGGUGCUCUUCACUGAGUGUCGUGGCAAACCGGCCAUAAUACUUUGAACAAAUGAAAGUGCUCAAAGCAGGCCGAUCAAUGCCUUGAAUACAGCGCGCAUGGAAUAAUGGAAUAUGACUUUGGUUCUAUUUUGUUGGUUUUCUGAAUCCAAGGUAAUGAUCAAUGUGGACAGGCGGGGGCAUUCGUAUUGCGACGUUAGAGGUGAAAUUCUUGGAUCGUCGCAAGACGCACUAGAGCGAAAGCAUUUGCCAAGUAUGUCUUAAUUGAUCAAGAACGAAAGUUAGAGGUUCGAAGGCGAUCAGAUACCGCCCUAGUUCUAACCAUAAACGAUGCCAGCCAGCAAUCCGCUGGUGUUCCUCCGAUGACACAGCGGGCAACUUCUCCCCGGGAAACCAAAGCCUUUGGGUUCCGGGGGAAGUAUGGUUGCAAAGCUGAAACUUAAAGGAAUUGACGGAAGGGCACCACCAGGAGUGGAGCCUGCGGCUUAAUU